This 298-nucleotide unclassified non-coding RNA is filed under the name uncultured Conocybe. Its description in RNAcentral is "sequence contains ITS2". The stretch from base 1 to 52 matches the Rfam family "5.8S ribosomal RNA", at positions 103 to 154 of the family's 154-position model. Lineage: Eukaryota; Fungi; Basidiomycota; Agaricomycetes; Agaricales; Bolbitiaceae. The record is from RNAcentral.
AACGCACCUUGCGCUCCUUGGUAUUCCGAGGAGCAUGCCUGUUUGAGUGUCAUUAAAUUCUCAAUCUCUACAGCUUUUGUUGUUUAGUAGAUUGGAUGUGGAGGUUCUUUGUGUGGGAUGAAAAUCCCUCACUCCUCUUAAAUGUAUUAGCUGGAAUGCCUCUGCAUAUCUGACUAUCAGUGUGAUAAUUAUCUAUACUGUAGUUGUUGCAUGAGGGUAUCUGCUUCAUUAACCGUCGCAAGACAAAUCUAAUGACCAUCUUGACCUCAAAUCAGGUAGGACUACCCGCUGAACUUAA